GAGAUAGCUAUCUUUAUUUGUGAUGUUCUUUCCAGGCUAAAAGGUGCAGGAGAGAUGACUCAAGGGACAGAGAGAUCUGAAAUUGUUACAUUAAACAAGUUUCCCAGGCAAAGCAAGAAAUAGCCUGGAGUCUGCUCCUGGUUACAACUUUAAUCAUUACAUACAAGCUGACUGCAAAUGAUGAACAAAAUACUUUAAUCUGGACUUCAUCACGUUAUGUUUGCAACUUUGGAGUUCUGAAUUUGUAAUAAGAGCGUGAAAGGUUUACCUGCAAUGCCAGUCUCAUUGAAUUCCAGUAAAUCCAAGAAAGAAUGUGUGGCUUCAUGGAAUGGAGCAAAGAGAUGGAGGACCUGGUGCCCCAACACUACAGGCACAACAGCGUGGACAUGGAUCCUCUCUGCAGAGCCCUGUAUUCAGCCAAAAUGCCUAGGACAGUGGGAAGUGCAGGAAUGUUCUUGUGCCUGUUUACUUGUGACAAGAUCAUCAAGUUUCUCAGCUCAGAGGGGACACUGAGAGUGGGGGAAUGGGUAAGAUUUUGCUGCUAAAAGGGAGGAAAAGCAAGAAAUGAGGAAAAUGACAGAACCAUCUAUUCCAGGGUCAACUCUAACAUAUAUUACAGGAGAAUUGUAUUUCUUGCAAAUAAAAGCAGAGACCUUCUGAUGUUGUUUUUUACUUUAACGUAAGAGAAAUUCCAUUGAUUUUCCUAAUCUAGCUCUUAAAUACACACAAGGAAGGUGUCCUGAGUGAGGCACUCGUAAGAAGUUAACUAAAGUCAUUUUCAGAUUUAAUGAUUGCAAGUGUCAGAAUGAGUGUGACUUCUCUUUAGUUCUUUAAACAGCACUUGCAGGUGUUCUCUGUGGUUAGACUGGCUGCCCCAAAUUACCCAGAAGUGAAGCUGCGUUUUUGGUGAUGCUCAUGUCUGAUCCAUGACCUCCAUCUUUUCUUUUUUUUUUUUUCUCUUAAGAUAACACAGCACAUUUGAGAAUGCUUAAAAUAUUCGAGUGGUGCUACUGGCUAUAAUUAAGUUCUUUCAGCCUUUCCAUUACAAAUUCUUCUUUCCGAGGUUUAAUAUCUCAGAGACUUUUAAUCCCAUUGGGCCAAACUUAGUAUAGAGGCUGUCAGCAGAAAUGCAAAUUUUUUUGCUCAACCCUAAAUAUUUCCAAUCAAACAAAUCUGGUUUUUUUCCCACUCAUUAU
Molecule: long non-coding RNA, 1196 nt
Filed under: Aotus nancymaae (Ma's night monkey)
Lineage: Eukaryota; Metazoa; Chordata; Mammalia; Primates; Aotidae
Description: lncRNA (ENSANAG00000039386.1)
Source: RNAcentral